Molecule: ribosomal RNA, 577 nt
Filed under: uncultured bacterium
Lineage: Bacteria
Description: bacterial SSU rRNA
Rfam family: Bacterial small subunit ribosomal RNA
Source: RNAcentral
CCUACGGGAGGCAGCAGUGAGGAAUAUUGGUCAAUGGGCGCAAGCCUGAACCAGCCAUGCCGCGCGCAGGACGACGGCCCUAUGGGUUGUAAACUGCUUUUGUACGGGAAGAAACACUGGUUCGUGAACCAGCUUGACGGUACUGUAAGAAUAAGGAUCGGCUAACUCCGUGCCAGCAGCCGCGGUAAUACGGAGGAUCCAAGCGUUAUCCGGAAUCAUUGGGUUUAAAGGGUGCGUAGGCGGGCUGAUAAGUCAGUGGUGAAAGCUCCGAGCUUAACUUGGAAACUGCCAUUGAUACUGCCAGUCUUGAAUGUCGUAGAGGUAAGCGGAAUGUUGCAUGUAGCGGUGAAAUGCUUAGAUAUGUUACAGAACACCAAUUGCGAAGGCAGCUUACUAUGCGAUGAUUGACGCUGAGGCACGAAAGCGUGGGGAGCAAACAGGAUUAGAUACCCUGGUAGUCCACGCCCUAAACGAUGAUUACUCGAUGUUGGCGAUACACUGUCAGCGUCUUAGCGAAAGCGUUAAGUAAUCCACCUGGGGAGUACGCUCGCAAGAGUGAAACUCAAAUGAAUUGACG